UUAAGCCAUGCAUGUGUCAGCAUCACCUUUUGUACAGUUAGGCUGCGGAUGGCUCAUUACAACAGUUGCCAUCUUGGCAACAAUUCUUGUUACAUGGAUAACUGUGGAAAUCCUUGGGCUAAUACAUGAUAUGAUUCUGACUCUCUUGGAAGGAGGUGUUCAUCAAUAUCAAAACCGGCCCAAGUUAUUCUUGGAUACUUGAGGAAACUUGAUGAAGUACUAGAUUGAAAGCUUUGGCUGACAAUGGGUUGCUUGAGCUUCUGACCUAUCAGCUCCUGACGCUAGGGUGCUGGCCCACCGUGGCAAUGACGGGUGGCGGAGAAUUAGGGUUUGAUUCCGGAGAGGGAGCCUGCCAAAUGGCUACCACAUCUAAGGAAGGCAGCAGGCGCGCAAAUUACCCAAGUCUGACACAGCGAGGUAGUGACAAGAAAUAACAAUAUGGGGCAUCCAUGUUCUGUAAUUGGAAUGAGCAUUGUUCAAAUUCCCUUGCAAGGAUCCAUUGGAGGGCAAGUCUGGUGCCAGCAGCCGCGGUAAUUCCAGCUCCAAUAGCGUAUAUUAAAGUUGUUGCGGUUGAAAAGCUCGUAGUUGGUCUUCUGUUGAGGACAACCAGUCCGCCCGCCGGGUGAGUAUCUGACUUGGUCUUGACAUCUCUUCGAGGACUAUUGCUGCACUUGACUGUGUGGCAUAUGACUUGAAGCUGCUACUUUGAGGAUAUUGGGGUGUUCCAAGCAGGCAAAAGCUUUUGAACACAAUAGCAUGGAAUAGUUAGUCAAACUCUUGCUCUUUCUUGCCGGUUUAGAGAGCUGGAGUGAGGGUCAAGAGGGAUAGUUGGGGGCAUCUGCACUUGGCUGUCAGAGGUGAAAUUCUUGGAUUUGCCAAAGACAAACAACUGCGAAAGCAUUUAUCCAAAAUGUCUUCAUUGAUCAAGAACGAAAGUUAGGGGAUCGAAGACGAUCAGAUACCGUCCUAGUCUUAACCAUAAACAAUGCCGACCAGAAAUUGGAGGUUGUCUUCUAUGGAUGUCUCCAGCACCUUGAGAGAAAUUAAAGUCUUUGGGUUCUGGGGGGAGUAUGAUCGCAAGGCUGAAACUUAAAGGAAUUGACGGAAGGGCACCACCAGGAGUGGAGCCUGCGGCUUAAUUUGACUCAACACGUGGAAACUUACCAGGCCCAGACACAAAAUUGAUUGACAGAUUGAGAGCUCUCUCAUGAUUCUGUGGGUGGUGGUGCAUGGCCGUUCUUAGUUGGUGGAGUGAUUUGUCAGGUUAAUUCCGUUAACGAACGAGACCUUGACUUGCUAAAUAGCCACGUGUAGCUCAUAUGCUUGGCGGGCGGCUUCUUAGAGGGACUUUGUGUUUCCAAAACGAGGAGGUUUGAGGCAAUAACAGGUCUGUGAUGCCCUUAGAUGUCUUGGGCUGCACGCGCGCUACACUGGCACAAGCAAUGUGUUCCUGCCUUGUCAGAAGUGGUGAGGUAACCUCUGGAACCAGUGCCGUGACGGGGAUAGACCGUUGCAACUGUUGAUCUUCAACGAGGAAUUCCUAGUAAGCAUGAGUCAUCAGCCCAUGUUGACUAUGUCCCUGCCCUUUGUACACACCGCCCGUCGCUCCUACCGAUUGAGUGAUCCGGUGAGCUAUUCGGCCUCUGCAGUCCUCAUUGCUGAGGACAGUGGAGAAAGAAUCGCAAAUCUUGCCACUUAGAGGAAGGAGAAGUCGUAACA
Molecule: ribosomal RNA, 1719 nt
Filed under: Amphidinium operculatum
Lineage: Eukaryota; Dinophyceae; Amphidiniales; Amphidiniaceae
Description: SSU rRNA
Rfam family: Eukaryotic small subunit ribosomal RNA
Source: RNAcentral